GAUGAACGCUAGCUACAGGCUUAACACAUGCAAGUCGAGGGGCAGCGGGAUUGAAGCUUGCUUCAAUUGCCGGCGACCGGCGCACGGGUGAGUAGCGCGUAUCCAACCUUCCGUACACUCAGGGAUAGCCUUUCGAAAGAAAGAUUAAUACCUGAUGGUAUCUUAAGCACACAUGUAAUUAAGAUUAAAGAUUUAUCGGUGUACGAUGGGGAUGCGUUCCAUUAGGUAGUAGGCGGGGUAACGGCCCACCUAGCCAACGAUGGAUAGGGGUUCUGAGAGGAAGGUCCCCCCACAUUGGAACUGAGACACGGUCCAAACUCCUACGGGAGGCAGCAGUGAGGAGUAUUGGUCAAUGGACGAGAGUCUGAACCAGCCAAGUAGCGUGAAGGAUGAAGGUCCUACGGAUUGUAAACUUCUUUAUAAGGGAAUAAACCCUCCCACGUGUGGGAGCUUGUAUGUACCUUAUGAAUAAGCAUCGGCUAACUCCGUG
This 490-nucleotide ribosomal RNA is filed under the name uncultured bacterium. RNAcentral describes it as "bacterial SSU rRNA". It matches the Rfam family "Bacterial small subunit ribosomal RNA", at positions 28 to 507 of the family's 1533-position model. The record is from RNAcentral.